This 895-nucleotide ribosomal RNA is filed under the name Emericellopsis minima. Its description in RNAcentral is "LSU rRNA". It matches the Rfam family "Eukaryotic large subunit ribosomal RNA", at positions 38 to 964 of the family's 3401-position model. Lineage: Eukaryota; Fungi; Ascomycota; Sordariomycetes; Hypocreales; Bionectriaceae. The record is from RNAcentral.
GCAUAUCAAUAAGCGGAGGAAAAGAAACCAACAGGGGAUUGCCCCCAGUAACGGCGAGUGAAGCGGCAACAGCUCAAAUUUGAAAUCUGGCCUCGUGCCCGAGUUGUAAUUUGUAGAGGAUGCUUUUGGCGACGCGCCUUCCGAGUUCCCUGGAACGGGACGCCAUAGAGGGUGAGAGCCCCGUCCGGUCGUGCGCCUAGCCUCUGUAAAGCUCCUUCGACGAGUCGAGUAGUUUGGGAAUGCUGCUCUAAAUGGGAGGUAUACGUCUUCUAAAGCUAAAUACCGGCCAGAGACCGAUAGCGCACAAGUAGAGUGAUCGAAAGAUGAAAAGCACUUUGAAAAGAGGGUUAAAUAGUACGUGAAAUUGCUGAAAGGGAAGCGCUUAUGACCAGACUUGGGCGCGGCGGAUCAUCCGGCGUUCUCGCCGGUGCACUCCACCGCCCCAGGCCAGCAUCAGUUCGCGCCGGGGGACAAAGGCUUCGGGAAUGUGGCUCUCUCGGGAGUGUUAUAGCCCGCUGCGUAAUACCCUGGCGCGGACUGAGGUCCGCGCUCUGCAAGGAUGCUGGCGUAAUGGUCAUCAGUGACCCGUCUUGAAACACGGACCAAGGAGUCGUCUUCGUAUGCGAGUGUUCGGGUGUCAAACCCCUACGCGGAAUGAAAGUGAACGUAGGAGAGAGCUUCGGCGCAUCUCCGACCGAUCCUGAUGUUCUCGGAUGGAUUUGAGUAAGAGCAUACGGGGCCGGACCCGAAAGAAGGUGAACUAUGCCUGUGUAGGGUGAAGCCAGAGGAAACUCUGGUGGAGGCUCGCAGCGGUUCUGACGUGCAAAUCGAUCGUCAAACAUGGGCAUGGGGGGCGAAAGACUAAUCGAACCUUCUAGUAGCUGGUUUCCGCCGA